This 2926-nucleotide ribosomal RNA is filed under the name Klebsiella aerogenes. Its description in RNAcentral is "bacterial LSU rRNA". It matches the Rfam family "Bacterial large subunit ribosomal RNA". Lineage: Bacteria; Pseudomonadati; Pseudomonadota; Gammaproteobacteria; Enterobacterales; Enterobacteriaceae. The record is from RNAcentral.
GGGUUGUGAGGUUAAGCGACUAAGCGUACACGGUGGAUGCCCUGGCAGUCAGAGGCGAUGAAGGACGUGCUAAUCUGCGAAAAGCGUCGGUAAGGUGAUAUGAACCGUUACAGCCGGCGAUGUCCGAAUGGGGAAACCCAGUGUGAUUCGUCACACUAUCGUUAACUGAAUACAUAGGUUAACGAGGCGAACCGGGGGAACUGAAACAUCUAAGUACCCCGAGGAAAAGAAAUCAACCGAGAUUCCCCCAGUAGCGGCGAGCGAACGGGGAGCAGCCCAGAGUCUGAAUCAGCUUGUGUGUUAGUGGAACGGUCUGGAAAGUCCGACGGUACAGGGUGAUAGUCCCGUACACCAAAAUGCACAGGCUGUGAACUCGAAGAGUAGGGCGGGACACGUGGUAUCCUGUCUGAAUAUGGGGGGACCAUCCUCCAAGGCUAAAUACUCCUGACUGACCGAUAGUGAACCAGUACCGUGAGGGAAAGGCGAAAAGAACCCCGGCGAGGGGAGUGAAAAAGAACCUGAAACCGUGUACGUACAAGCAGUGGGAGCACCUUCGGGUGUGACUGCGUACCUUUUGUAUAAUGGGUCAGCGACUUAUAUUCUGUAGCAAGGUUAACCGUAUAGGGGAGCCGCAGGGAAACCGAGUCUUAACUGGGCGUUAAGUUGCAGGGUAUAGACCCGAAACCCGGUGAUCUAGCCAUGGGCAGGUUGAAGGUUGGGUAACACUAACUGGAGGACCGAACCGACUAAUGUUGAAAAAUUAGCGGAUGACUUGUGGCUGGGGGUGAAAGGCCAAUCAAACCGGGAGAUAGCUGGUUCUCCCCGAAAGCUAUUUAGGUAGCGCCUCGUGAAUUCAUCUUCGGGGGUAGAGCACUGUUUCGGCUAGGGGGUCAUCCCGACUUACCAACCCGAUGCAAACUACGAAUACCGAAGAAUGUUAUCACGGGAGACACACGGCGGGUGCUAACGUCCGUCGUGAAGAGGGAAACAACCCAGACCGCCAGCUAAGGUCCCAAAGUCACAGUUAAGUGGGAAACGAUGUGGGAAGGCACAGACAGCCAGGAUGUUGGCUUAGAAGCAGCCAUCAUUUAAAGAAAGCGUAAUAGCUCACUGGUCGAGUCGGCCUGCGCGGAAGAUGUAACGGGGCUAAACUGUGCACCGAAGCUGCGGCAGCGACACUAUGUGUUGUUGGGUAGGGGAGCGUUCUGUAAGCCUGCGAAGGUGGCCUGUGAGGGUUGCUGGAGGUAUCAGAAGUGCGAAUGCUGACAUAAGUAACGAUAAUGCGGGUGAAAAGCCCGCACGCCGGAAGACCAAGGGUUCCUGUCCAACGUUAAUCGGGGCAGGGUGAGUCGACCCCUAAGGCGAGGCCGAAAGGCGUAGUCGAUGGGAAACAGGUUAAUAUUCCUGUACUUGGUGUUACUGCGAAGGGGGGACGGAGAAGGCUAUGUUAGCCGGGCGACGGUUGUCCCGGUUUAAGCAUGUAGGCGGAGGUUCCAGGUAAAUCCGGUACCUUUUUAACGCUGAGGUGUGAUGACGAGGCACUACGGUGCUGAAGUAACAAAUGCCCUGCUUCCAGGAAAAGCCUCUAAGCAUCAGGUAACAUUGAAUCGUACCCCAAACCGACACAGGUGGUCAGGUAGAGAAUACCAAGGCGCUUGAGAGAACUCGGGUGAAGGAACUAGGCAAAAUGGUGCCGUAACUUCGGGAGAAGGCACGCUGAUAUGUAGGUGAAGCCCCUGCGGGUGGAGCUGAAAUCAGUCGAAGAUACCAGCUGGCUGCAACUGUUUAUUAAAAACACAGCACUGUGCAAACACGAAAGUGGACGUAUACGGUGUGACGCCUGCCCGGUGCCGGAAGGUUAAUUGAUGGGGUUAUCCGUAAGGAGAAGCUCUUGAUCGAAGCCCCGGUAAACGGCGGCCGUAACUAUAACGGUCCUAAGGUAGCGAAAUUCCUUGUCGGGUAAGUUCCGACCUGCACGAAUGGCGUAAUGAUGGCCAGGCUGUCUCCACCCGAGACUCAGUGAAAUUGAACUCGCUGUGAAGAUGCAGUGUACCCGCGGCAAGACGGAAAGACCCCGUGAACCUUUACUAUAGCUUGACACUGAACAUUGAGCCUUGAUGUGUAGGAUAGGUGGGAGGCUUUGAAGCGUGGACGCCAGUCUGCGUGGAGCCAACCUUGAAAUACCACCCUUUAAUGUUUGAUGUUCUAACGUUGGCCCCUUAUCGGGGUUGCGGACAGUGUCUGGUGGGUAGUUUGACUGGGGCGGUCUCCUCCCAAAGAGUAACGGAGGAGCACGAAGGUUAGCUAAUCCUGGUCGGACAUCAGGAGGUUAGUGCAAUGGCAUAAGCUAGCUUGACUGCGAGCGUGACGGCGCGAGCAGGUGCGAAAGCAGGUCAUAGUGAUCCGGUGGUUCUGAAUGGAAGGGCCAUCGCUCAACGGAUAAAAGGUACUCCGGGGAUAACAGGCUGAUACCGCCCAAGAGUUCAUAUCGACGGCGGUGUUUGGCACCUCGAUGUCGGCUCAUCACAUCCUGGGGCUGAAGUAGGUCCCAAGGGUAUGGCUGUUCGCCAUUUAAAGUGGUACGCGAGCUGGGUUUAGAACGUCGUGAGACAGUUCGGUCCCUAUCUGCCGUGGGCGCUGGAGAAUUGAGGGGGGCUGCUCCUAGUACGAGAGGACCGGAGUGGACGCAUCACUGGUGUUCGGGUUGUCAUGCCAAUGGCAUUGCCCGGUAGCUAAAUGCGGAAGAGAUAAGUGCUGAAAGCAUCUAAGCACGAAACUUGCCCCGAGAUGAGUUCUCCCUGAGACUUUAAGUCUCCUGAAGGAACGUUAAAGACGAUGACGUUGAUAGGUCGGGUGUGUAAGCGUAGCGAUACGUUGAGCUAACCGAUACUAAUGAACCGUGAGGCUUAACCUUACAACGCCGAAG